Molecule: long non-coding RNA, 1303 nt
Filed under: Homo sapiens (human)
Lineage: Eukaryota; Metazoa; Chordata; Mammalia; Primates; Hominidae
Description: HSALNT0067887
Source: RNAcentral
AAAUGGAAGCACACCCAGAGUGCUCCGGACAGACGCCCAGCCUGCUGUAGGAGCUCCUGUGGGCUCAUCUGCCUUCGGAGCAUGCACCUGCAUCAGGCGACUGCAGCACAGUGAGACUGAUGGGCUGCCCUGAGCACAGGGCACGAGGAACCUUGCGCUUCUCCGCGUAUCCGGUGGGAGGCGCCCACACAGGGGCCUCCUGGAGGGUCCCUGUGGGAGGCUGUAUGUGGGGCAGAGGUUCGGAUGUGGCCGGAUACCCACUCUCCCAUACCGGGGGCCCUGCGCUGGCCACUCCAGCCACAUGUGGCUGCUUCUGCUUUGUAGUGAGUGACUUUCUCAACCAAGCCUGGCCAUGGCUCUCCACACGCCAGUCUCUUGAGCUGCAGGAGAGACCCCCCCAGAGGUCCUAGCCCAGUGGCACUGGCUACUGUCCCCUUCUGUGCCUGUCCCUGACUUGCCCCCAACUCGGCUCCGACUCUGCCCCUCCCCUCAGCCUCUCACCUGCCGCCCUUCCCCAUCUUGGCUGGGCCGAGGAAUCACUCACGCCCUUCCUCGGCGUAUUAGUCCGUUCCCACGCUGCUAUAAAGAACUGCCCAAGACUGGGUAAUUUAUACAAGAAAGAGGUUUAAUUGACUCACAGUUGAGCAUGGCUGAGGAGGCCUCAGGAAACUUAGUCAUGGUGGAAGGCAAAGGAGAAGCAGGUCCCAGGGCGGCGGGACGGAGUGAGUGCAAGCAGGGGAAGUACCAGACGUUGAUGAAACCAUCAGAUCUCAUGAGACUCACGCAGUAUUGCAAGAACAGCAUGGGGGAGCCACCCCAUGAUCCAGGCACCUCCACCUGCUCCCGCCCUUGAUACGUGGGUACUAUGGAGAGUACAAUUCAAGGCAGGCGAUGCUCAAAUCCAUCUCCUCACUGACGCCCUCCUCUGUGGCAGCUCUGAGCCUUGAACCUCCAACACCGUCCUGUCGGGACUGGCAGAACUCAUCAGGGGAAUCAUUGGAACGCUAGUCACCCUUGCCCCUCCAGACCUCCCAACCUCUCCUCUCCCCUCCCUAGCACCCCCUCACCCCAGGCUGCCUGGGUCCUACACAGUCCCCAGCACUGAGACUGGCCUUCUGCUCCCCUCCCUCAGCCUUGCUCACCUCCUGGCUGUCCUGGGACAGCGUCUUAGGGUGCUGCCUGCUCAUGACUUGCUCAGGGUCUUAGUCCCCUGCCUCCCCCUGCACCUGUGUCCUCGGUCACGUGUUCCGUCAGGGUGCUGGGCAUGGCGCCGACAUGGAAGCGCUGCCUGUCUGCUCCUCAG